AAAACAUGUCUAUAUGAUUGUUAUAUAAAGUCUAGCCUGCCCACUGAUUUGGUUUAAAGGGCCGCGGUAUAUUGACCGUGCGAAGGUAGCAUAAUCAUUAGUCUUUUAAUUGGAGGCUUGUAUGAAUGGUUGGACAAAAAGUAAGCUGUCUCAGCUAUAAUGAUUGAACUUAACUUUUGAGUGAAAAGGUCAAAUAGUUCAGGGGGACGAUAAGACCCUAUAAAGCUUGACAAUAACUUCGUUAAAUUGUAAAUUGUUAGUGAACUUGAUUUUAACUAGGGUUUGUUUCGUUGGGGCGACGGGAAUAUAAUAAAUAACUGUUCUUUUAAGUAUAGUUACAAAAAUGCUUGGUGAAUAAUUGAUCCUCUACUAGAGAUUAAAAGAUAAAGUUACUUUAGGGAUAACAGCGUAAUCUUCUUUGAGAGUCCACAUCGACAAGAAGGUUUGCGACCUCGAUGUUGAAUUAAGGUAUCCUUAUAAUGCAGCAGUUAUAAAGGAGGGUCUGUUCGACCUUUAAAUCCUUACAUGAUCUGAG
This 535-nucleotide ribosomal RNA is filed under the name Penaeus latisulcatus. RNAcentral's name for it is "partial large subunit ribosomal RNA". It matches the Rfam family "Bacterial large subunit ribosomal RNA", at positions 1810 to 2609 of the family's 2925-position model. Lineage: Eukaryota; Metazoa; Arthropoda; Malacostraca; Decapoda; Penaeidae. The record is from RNAcentral.